ACGCUCGACACCUACGAGAGGCAGCAGUGAGGAAUAUUGGUCAAUGGGCGCUAGCCUGAACCAGCCAAGUAGCGUGAAGGAUGAAGGCUCUAUGGGUCGUAAACUUCUUUUAUAUAAGAAUAAAGUGCAGUAUGUAUACUGUUUUGUAUGUAUUAUAUGAAUAAGGAUCGGCUAACUCCGUUCACGCAGCCGCGGUAAUCUGAGCGGGCUGGCAAGGC
Molecule: ribosomal RNA, 218 nt
Filed under: uncultured bacterium
Lineage: Bacteria
Description: partial 16S ribosomal RNA
Rfam family: Bacterial small subunit ribosomal RNA
Source: RNAcentral